Molecule: ribosomal RNA, 214 nt
Filed under: uncultured bacterium
Lineage: Bacteria
Description: partial 16S ribosomal RNA
Rfam family: Bacterial small subunit ribosomal RNA
Source: RNAcentral
CGGGCUGAGUAACACGUAGGAACGUACCCCAAACUGAGGGAUAAGCACCAGAAAUGGUGUCUAAUACCGCAUGUGAUCUUCGGAUGAAAGCUUCGGCGGUUUGGGAACGGCCUGCGCAUGAUUAGCUUGUUGGUGAGGUAAUAGCUCACCAAGGCGACGAUCAUUAGCUGGUCUGAGAGGAUGAUCAGCCAGACUGGGACUGAGAACGGCCCAG